This is a non-coding RNA of Hypoxylon cercidicola, 86 nucleotides long. The record is from the annotation of a GenBank genome assembly. Lineage: Eukaryota; Fungi; Ascomycota; Sordariomycetes; Xylariales; Hypoxylaceae.
GCCUCUAUAGCUCAGUGGUAGAGCGCGUCACUCGUAUCGUGCUAUGCGAUAUGACGAGGUCCAUCGUUCGAUCCGGUGUGGAGGCA